This 2013-nucleotide unclassified non-coding RNA is filed under the name Hevea brasiliensis (rubber tree). The record is from RNAcentral. Lineage: Eukaryota; Viridiplantae; Streptophyta; Magnoliopsida; Malpighiales; Euphorbiaceae.
UUAAAACCAAAACAAUGCCUAGACCUCAUCUAGUGCUAUUCUGGAGUUUGAGACAACACGAAUGAUGCUCGAGUUUACAAGGUCUGACAAUAAUUUCCGAGUCGCAGCUUAUAAAAUAAACAGAAAACUCCUGACUUUCAAAAUGUAUCUCACUGGGGAAAUCUUUUCCCAUUUCUCAUCACGAUAGUGACUUGCAAUUUGUUGAAAAUGAAAAAUUUAUGAGCAAUCACGAAUAUCCCAAGCUGCAUACCACCCAAGCUGCAUACUAUCUUUUAGCAAAACUCAAUGAUUUUCGGUUGAUGUUAUCUAAACGAAUUAAUAGUGUCCCAGCAUUUUCUCCUUCUGCCCACUUGAUUGAUUCCUUCUCCAACAGCUUCAUAACCAAUCUCCUACGAGCCCCUUUUGAGGUAUCUUCCUCAUCUGUCUCAAUGAUGACCUUCAGGUACUUAAUUGAUGAGAUGCCUGAAAGUGAAGAAAGAUGACACUUCAAAAGACGCAUUGCCUCCUUGGCACCAUGGUCAUGCAGGUCAAGUGUCAAUUCGUCUUUUGUAUCUACAUUUUUGGUUUCAAAAAUCUUCUGACUAGAUUCUUCAUCUGCCUCGCGAGCCUUUCCAUGAAAAAAAUGUCCCUCAUCCAUAAGUUUGUUAGAGCAAUCAUAGUCUCCCUUAGCAAAUGCGUUGACAGCAGCUUUAUAAUAUUCCUUCAUUGUGACCCGAUACUCCUUCACAGCCCUACGAAGCUGCUGGUAACUACCCUCUUCAUCUUCAUCAUUGCCGUUAUCUUGCUUUGAACCAACAGAAUUAGUCUUGUGUUCUAAGGUAAAGUCUCUUGGAGGUUCAACCACUAGUUCUCCAAAUACUUUAGAUCUCCUUGCUCCCUUUGCUGCUCUUCUAGAUAAUUCUUCAGAUCUAUCAGCAGAAUUAAACAAUGCAACUAAUACUUCCUUCUGAAGAUCGUUUCUCUCGUCUUGUUCAGGUUGUCCUCCAUCAUUUAUGUUUGAAAUUCCAUUUGCAUCACCCCCGAGGGAAUUCAUUUGUGGUGAUUUGCAUUGAUAUGAAUGUUCUUCAGAAUUUGAAUGCACAUCUACCAUCUUUCCAGUGGAUUUACCAAGGCAUUUGUUCUCUUCUUCCAAAUUCACUGCAGACAAAUCUAACAGUUUCUCCAUACUCUUUUCAAUGUCAUAUCCACAUUUAUCAAGAACUUGUCGAAUCUCAUCUCUUUCCAGCUGAAAACCAUCUCCUAGCAUUCUGAAAAGAAAAUUUUCCAUAUCCUUAUACAUAUGAUAAUUCUUUGAUGGGUUCAGUUUAGUUUCCUCUCCCCAUAGUUCAGACGCUGGCAAUUCCUUUGCAUCCAAUUUCAUUGGUUUGGUUCCCAUACAGGAACUGCUGGCUACUGGCAUGGACUUAGUAUAUUCUUUGCCAAGAAUGCUUGAAAUAGUGCCUCCUGAAACUGGACGCCAUUUUUGCUUUGAAGCUCUGAACUUUCCAUUUGCAUAACACGAUCUCGUAGAAAUUAUAUCAUAAGAUGAUUUGGAAGAUUCUACACUUCUUCCCCCUCCAUUGGUUGCAACAACAGAAGAGGUAGAGGUGCUUUCCUGCAUGUCAUAAAGGAUUUCACAAGCCAAAUCUGCAUUCUGGUCUGCCUUGUAAUAAGCAGAAGCUAUAUCUUGAAGAGAAAACAAGGAGCCAAAUGCCUCAAACAAAGCUUUCAACGCCUUUCCAUCAUUAUCUUCAUAUUUUGUGUUCAAAAUAGAUGCUUCCAUUUAAAUAUAUUUUGAAACAGAGAAGUUAAGGAGAGAGAUUGGAGGCGCUAUGGAUUAUCCUGCGAGGUUUCGAGUGAGUAAAUGAGGAGGAGCAGCGGAAAAACAAAAUGAACUUCCUUUGGCGCUCAAUUGCUUAUCUGCAACAGUGGGAUUUGAUUCCCUUCUUAACGCGUCUUCAUUGUAACUGCUAUACAAUUUAUACUUCUGGCUAGCUUCCUGCUUCCUGCUUCCUGCUUCCUGCUUCCUUCUUC